UCACUUGCAGGCACGCGCCUUGAAUCGUCGAUGAAGCACGAGAGCAAACCGAGAGCAGCCGACAGCUGAAGGUACGGCAGCGUCAGAUAGGUUGACCAAUAAACCACAUUGAAGAAGAGGAAAGAGAAGGGGAAGAGAGCUCUUGCAUAGAGGUCGACGCGUUUAGCAGCAGCAGCAAGCAAACCCCACUGCUAUCCGUAGGAACCAGCUAACCAGGACAGCGAGCAGAAGAAACAACCUGCUCUCCACUCCACACGACUGUUAGACGACGGCAGGUCUAGACAAGCAUCUCAAGCUACAUCUUUACGACUGGACAUGGCCAUUAUAUCAGAGGCCAGAGGGUUUUAUUAGUAAUAAAAUUGAAAUAUUCCCUGGGAAGAUUGUAAAGAAUGUCAAAGACAUAAAUACUGAGGACAAAAAUGUGAUUUAUUUAUUUUUCUGUUUUAAUGUGACCUAUUAUGCUUCCUUGAACAGGUUAGGAAAGGUGUAUGGGCUAUACAAAACACAUUCAUUAAAUUUUUUGCACUAAUUCAUUUUUAGAUAAUGAGAUUUUAAUCUGUUCAGUUUGGAUGUCCUUUCAGAAUGAGCUGUUUUAGGGCGUCUUGUCACUUUAAAUUCAAACGAGUCCCUCUGGGGAUUGCUGGGGGUUGCUAGGUAACGGGCUGAGCUCCUUGGGGGUUGCUAGGUAACGGGCUG
Long non-coding RNA from Xiphophorus maculatus (southern platyfish), 696 nucleotides. RefSeq lists it as uncharacterized. NCBI's taxonomy places the organism in Eukaryota, Metazoa, Chordata, Actinopteri, Cyprinodontiformes, Poeciliidae. The record is from RefSeq and is a predicted model, not a curated record. The transcript has 3 exons.